GACGAACGCUGGCGGCGUGCCUAAUACAUGCAAGUCGAACGAGAGCGACCGGUGCUUGCACUGGUCAAUCUAGUGGCGAACGGGUGAGUAACACGUGGGUAACCUGCCCAUCAGAGGGGGAUAACAUCCGGAAACGGAUGCUAAAACCGCAUAGGUCUUCGAACCGCAUGGUUUGAAGAGGAAAAGAGGCGCAAGCUUCUGCUGAUGGAUGGACCCGCGGUGCAUUAGCUAGUUGGUGAGGUAACGGCUCACCAAGGCCGUGAUGCAUAGCCGACCUGAGAGGGUGAUCGGCCACAUUGGGACUGAGACACGGCCCAAACUCCUACGGGAGGCAGCAGUAGGGAAUCUUCCGCAAUGGACGCAAGUCUGACAGAGCAACGCCGCGUGAGUGAAGAAGGUUUUCGGAUCGUAAAACUCUGUUGUUAGAGAAGAACAAGUGCUAGAGUAACUGUUAGCGCCUUGACGGUAUCUAACCAGAAAGCCACGGCUAACUACGUG
RNAcentral lists this ribosomal RNA (498 nucleotides) under uncultured bacterium. RNAcentral's name for it is "partial 16S ribosomal RNA". It matches the Rfam family "Bacterial small subunit ribosomal RNA", at positions 28 to 507 of the family's 1533-position model. The record is from RNAcentral.